This 69-nucleotide transfer RNA is filed under the name Meriones libycus (Libyan jird). Its description in RNAcentral is "tRNA-Met". It matches the Rfam family "tRNA". From Rfam's summary of the family: Transfer RNA (tRNA) molecules are approximately 80 nucleotides in length. The record is from RNAcentral. Lineage: Eukaryota; Metazoa; Chordata; Mammalia; Rodentia; Muridae. RNAcentral also lists the same sequence under 1 other name.
AGUAAGGUCAGCUAGCAAAGCUAUCGGGCCCAUACCCCGAAAACGAUGGUGAAAUUCCUUCCCCUACUA